RNAcentral lists this ribosomal RNA (263 nucleotides) under uncultured Enterococcaceae bacterium. RNAcentral's name for it is "partial 16S ribosomal RNA". It matches the Rfam family "Bacterial small subunit ribosomal RNA", at positions 524 to 786 of the family's 1533-position model. The record is from RNAcentral. Lineage: Bacteria; Bacillati; Bacillota; Bacilli; Lactobacillales; Enterococcaceae.
UACGUAGGUGGCAAGCGUUGUCCGGAUUUAUUGGGCGUAAAGCGAGCGCAGGCGGUUUCUUAAGUCUGAUGUGAAAGCCCCCGGCUCAACCGGGGAGGGUCAUUGGAAACUGGGAGACUUGAGUGCAGAAGAGGAGAGUGGAAUUCCAUGUGUAGCGGUGAAAUGCGUAGAUAUAUGGAGGAACACCAGUGGCGAAGGCGGCUCUCUGGUCUGUAACUGACGCUGAGGCUCGAAAGCGUGGGGAGCAAACAGGAUUAGAUACC